This 2454-nucleotide long non-coding RNA is filed under the name Sus scrofa (pig). Its description in RNAcentral is "lncRNA (ENSSSCG00055030624.1)". The record is from RNAcentral. Lineage: Eukaryota; Metazoa; Chordata; Mammalia; Artiodactyla; Suidae.
UUUUUUAAUUUAGAGAAGCCCUUUCAGUAUUUCUUUGAGAAUGGGUUUAGUAUUGCUGUAUUCUUUUAGCUUUUGUUUGUUGGUGAAAUUCUUUAUUUCCCCUUCUAUUUUAAAUGAUAUUCUUGCUGGAUGGAGUAUUCUAGGUUGCAAUUUUUUUGCUUUCAGCACUUUGCAUAUAUCUUGCCACUCCCUUCUGACCUGUAGUGUUUUUGUAGAGAAAUCAACUGAUAGCCUUAUGGGGGUUACCUUAUAAUUAACACUUUGCUUUUCUCUUGCUGCCUUUAGAAUCCUCUCUUUAUCUUUAACUUUUGCCAUUUUUAUUAUAAUAUGUCUUGAUGUAGGCCUGUUUGGGUUCAACUUGUUUGGGGCCGUCUGUGCUUCCUGUAUCUUGAUAUCAGUUUCCUUUAGAUUUGGAAAGUUUUCAGACAUAAUUUCUUCAAAUAUAUUUCAAUCCCAUUUUCUUUUUCUUCUCCUUCUGGAAUUCCUAUUAUGCAUAGAGUGGCCCGCUUUAUAUUAUCCCAUAGAUCUUUUAUAUUGCUUUCGUGUUUUUUCAUUUGGUUUUCUGUCUGCUGUCCUGAUUGGAUGAUUUCCAUUAUUCUAUCUUCCAAGUCACUGAUUCAUUCCUCUGAAUUAUUCAUUCUGCUCUUUAGUGCCUUUAGCUCAGUUUUUGUCUCUGCAAAUGAAUUUUCUAGUUUUCGUGGCUCCUCCUUAUAUUUUCUAGUUCCUUUCUAAAGGAAUCUGAAUUACUGUUCAUAUCUGCUCUUAAUUCCUUGAUAUUCAGCCUUAAUUCCUUCAAUAUAUUCACUAUCUCCCUUUUGAACUCAAUGCCUAUGAGACUGUAGAGGUUUGUUUCAUUGUUGACUGCUUUAGGUGAAUUCUCCUGUCCUUUAACUGGGAAUGGUUUCUAAGCUUCUUUAUCUUGCUUAUGUUUUUCUUUUUCUGUGAGUUUAGGGAGGCCAAACUGUAGUCUUGUAGAGAUACUUCUAUGAAAGAGCACCCCUUUGUGUUUUGGGGGGGAGGUUACUAUUUAUUUUUGGUGUGGGAGUUUGAAUAUUAGCUGUCUCUUUCUUCAGUGUGAGUAGGCUGUCAUCCCCAGGGUGCUGAGUGUGUUUCCAGGGAGAAGGAGGCAAUGGGUAGAGCUAGUAGUCAGUGCCUGAUUGCUGGGCUCUCAACAGCAGCAAGGACCUGCAGGAAGGUGCACAAGCUACUCCUAGUUGCAGGGCCCUGGGAACUGGUAAUGAGCCUUAGGGAGAUUUAAGAGGCCUGUGCCACCUUCCUGCAGGUUCUUGCUGCUGUUGAGAGCCCAGCAAUCAGGCAUUGACUGCUGGCCAUACUCAUUGCCUUCCUCUCCCUGAAAACACACUGAGAAUCCUGGGGAUAACAGCCUGCUCAAACUGAAGAAAAAGACAGCAAAUAUUCAAACUCCCACACCAAAAAUAAAUAGUAACCUCCCCCUAAAAAUACAAAGGGGUGCUCUUGCGCAGAAGUAGCCUUACAAGACUACAGUUUGGCUUCCCCCAAACUCACAGAAAAAGAAAAACAUAAGCAAGAUGAAGAAACUCAGAAACCAUUCCCAGUUAAAGGACAGGAGAAUUCACCUAAAGCAGUCAACAAUGAAACAAACCUCUGCAGUCUGACAGACACUGAGUUCAAAAGGGAGAUAGUGAAAAUACUGAAGGAAUUAAGGCUGAAUAUCAAGGAAUUAAGAGAAGAUAUGAACAGUAAUGCAGAUUCCCUUAGAAAGGAACUAGAAAAUAUAAGGAGGAGCCACGAAAACUAGAAAAUUCAUUUGCAGAGAUGCAAACUGAGCUAAAGGCAAUAAAGAGCAGAAUGAAUAAUGCAGAGGAAUGAAUCAGUGACUUGGAAGAUAGAAUAAUGGAAAUCAUCCAAUCAGGACAGCAGACAGAAAACCAAAUGAAAAAACAUGAAAGCAGUAUAAAAGAUCUAUGGGAUAAUAUAAAGCGGGCCACUCUAUGCAUAAUAGGAAUUCUAGAAGGAAAAGAAAAGGGGGAUUGAAAAUAUAUUCAAAUAUGUUAUAUCUGAAAAUGUUCCAAAACUAAAGGAAAAUAAUAUCAAGACUCAGGAAACAUAUAGAGCCCCAAAAAAGUUGAACCCAAACAGGCCUACAUCAAUACAUAUUAUAAUAAAAAUGGCAAAAGUUAAAGAUAAAGAGAGGAUUCUAAAGGCAGCAAGAGAAAAGUAAAGCGUUAAUUAUAUGGGAACCCCCAUCAGGCUAUCAGCUGAUUUCUCUGCAGAAACACUACAGGUCAGAAGGGAGUGGCAAGAUACAUGUAAAGUGCUGAAAGGAAAAUAUUUGCAACCUAGAAUACUCCAUCCAGCAAGAAUAUCAUUUAAAAUAGAAGGGAAAAAAAGAAUUUCUCCAACGAACAAAAACUAAAAGAGUACAGCAAUACUAAACCCAUUCUAAAAGAAAUACGAAAGGGCUUCUCUAAA